ACUCCUACGGGAGGCAGCAGUGGGGAAUAUUGGACAAUGGGCGAAAGCCUGAUCCAGCCAUGCCGCGUGUGUGAAGAAGGUCUUCGGAUUGUAAAGCACUUUAAGUUGGGAGGAAGGGCAGUUACCUAAUACGUAAUUGUUUUGACGUUACCGACAGAAUAAGCACCGGCUAACUCUGUGCCAGCAGCCGCGGUAAUACAGAGGGUGCAAGCGUUAAUCGGGAAUUACUGGGCGUAAAGCGCGCGUAGGUGGUUUGUUAAGUUGGAUGUGAAAUCCCCGGGGCUCAACCUGGGAACUGCAUUCAAAACUGACUGACUAGAGUAUGGUAGAGGGUGGUGGAAUUUCCUGUGUAGCGGUGAAAUGCGUAGAUAUAGGAAGGAACACCAGUGGCGAAGGCGACCACCUGGACUAAUACUGACACUGAGGUGCGAAAGCGUGGGGAGCAAACAGGAUUAGAUA
Molecule: ribosomal RNA, 459 nt
Filed under: uncultured bacterium
Lineage: Bacteria
Description: bacterial SSU rRNA
Rfam family: Bacterial small subunit ribosomal RNA
Source: RNAcentral